CGGGGGUGGGAGAGAGAAGGGGAGAGAUGGAUCUCAGUCCCGAGGGGAGGAAGGGCAGAGGCGAGAGAGACAGAAGCGGAGCCCGGAAAAGACCCCCAUUUCUCGAACCACGCGGAAGGCGGCAAGGACCCCAGCGCGGAGCGAGCGCGAACUUCGGGACCCCGGCCGCAGGGGCGGCGGCGAGUCUCCCGCGGCCGCCCCGCGCCCACUAGCCGCACUCACCUGCAGCGCCCAGCUCCGCGCCCGCACUGCGCCCGGCGCCGCUUGCCGCGCACCCGCCUGUUGCUAGGACGCCAGUGAAACGCCCGGCGCCCGCGCAGAGCGUCGCCGCCCCGCGGAAGAAAGCUCUGAGCCCGCCCUCCGCGCCGCAGCUGCCUGCCGUGCGAUCGCGCCCGGAGCCCGCCCAGACCACAGCCGCGUGCUCCCGGCGGCCCCGCGCCCCCGCCGCCGGCCCUGCUGGAGCCCGGCUUCGCGGGGUUUCGCUAAAGCCUGCAGCCGCCGCGUCCCCUCCCUGGGAAUAGUGUUAUUCGACCUCCUUCUGCCAGGAGGACUCUCCCUGAAUCACUCCACCAGGUGAGAACUUACCACUGGAAGGGACCUGCAUUACGCCAUUGCGAUCACAGGACACUCCUGCUGCACCGUGACUUUCCUCAAAGCAACACUUUGAAUAAAUAAUGCCACUCCCUUCAGGCCUACAGACUUCCUGUUGAAAAUCAGCUGAUUGCUGAUAGCAAUAUGAAUGGCAGUCUGCUGGAUAACCACCUUGCGUAUUUCUACCACCUGAAGAUCUCCAUGUGGAAAGUUCCAAGGUUAAUUUUCCGUCUUCCUGAAGAACCUGUCCAGUGCUUUCAAGUUCAAUCGUGUCACUCCAGGGAAUGUGACAGCUGUGCAGAAAAACAGCCUUUGCUCAUGUUUCUGGCUCCAGUUAUAGCAACACCAGGCAGCACAGGGCAGCGAAAAUAGCAUGGUCGGAGGAAGGCGGACCCUGACCCUGAUUCCACGACUUAUCACCUGUCACCUUGGAAAAGUUGUUCUGGAGUGCCAUGAACUGUGCCCACGUAAGAUGGUGAGCUUAAUCAACAAACGGUGUGUGUUUUCUGGCUGCUCCACUGACUGCCCAUUGCCUGAUCUCUCCCCGUCUCCUCAGGCCUCCCUAUUCCCUGAGACACAACAAUACUGAAAUUAGGCCAAUGAAUAACUCCACGAUCGCCUCUAAGUGUUCAAGUGCAAGGAAGAGCUGUACGGCUCCCGCUUUCAGUCAAAAGCUAGACACGAUUAAGCCUAGGGAGGAAGGCACGUGGAAAGCUGAGACAGGCUGAAAGCUAGGCCUCCUGCACCGAACAGUCAAGUUGUGAAUGCAAAAGAAAAAUUCUCGAAGGAAAUGAAAAGUGCUACUCCAGUGAAUGCACGUGAAUCGGCCUUAUUGCUGACCUGGAGAGAAGAGCCAACCAGCCACAACAGUCCUGCAAGCCCAAGCCCGACUCCCUUCAAUUCUACGAAGGCAGCGAGAGGGGAGGAAGCUGCAGAAGGAAAGUGUGAAGCCAGCAGAGGUUGUCCCUGACGUUUAAGGAAACAAGUCAUCUCUGUCACAGAAAAGUGCAGGGUGAAGCAGCAGAUGCUGAUGGAGAAGCUACAGCAAGUUACCCAGAAGACCCAGCUGAGAUAGAUCAUUAAUGAAGGUGCCUACACCAAGUGGAUUUUCACUGUAAAUCAAACAGCCUUAUACUGGAAGAAGGUGCCAUCUAGGCUUUCACAGCUAGAGAGAAGUCAAUGCCUGGCUCCAGAGCUCUAAAGGACAGUCUACCUCGUUAGGGGUGAAUGUCAUUGAUGGCUUUAAAGCUGAAGCCAGUGUUCACUGGCUGUUCUGAAAAUCCCAACGCCCUUAAGAAUUAUGGAAAAUGUACUCUACCUGUGCUCUAUAAAUGGAACAACAAAGCCUGUUUAUCAGCACCUCUGUUUCCAACAUGGUUUACUGGAUGUUUUAAGCCCACUGUUCAAAGCUAGUGCUCAGAUUCUUUCUGAAAUACUACGAAAGCACCUUGCCACCAAGAGCUCGGAUGGAGACGUAAAACGAGACUAAUGUUGUUGUCAAGCCUGCUAACACAACAUCCGUUCUGCAGUCCAUGGAUCAAGGAGUAAUUCUGACUUUCAGUUCUUACUAAGAAGUACAUUUUUGUAAGGCUAUGGCUGCCAUAGAUAGUGACUUCUCUGACGGAUUUGGGCAAAAUAAGUUGAAAACUGAAUUAUGGAAAGAUAACUUUCUGGAAAGAGUUCACACUAGAUGCUGUUAAGAACAUUUGUGAUUCAUGGGAAGAGAUCAAAAUAUCAACAUUAACAGUUUGGAAGAAGUGGAUUCCAAUACUCAUGAAUGACUUUGAGGGGUUCAAGCCUUGAGCGGAGAAAGUCCCUGCAGCUGGGGUGUAAAUAGCGGGAGAAUUGGAAUUAGAAGUGGAGCCUGAAGAUGGGGCCGAAUUGCUGCCACCUUGUGAUCAAACUUUAAUGGAUGAGGAGUUGCUUCCUACGGAUGAGCAAAGAAAGUGGUUUCUGGAUCUGGAAUCUACCCCUGUGAAGAUGCUGUGAAGACUGUUGAAAUGACAACAGAGGACUGAGAAUGCUACAUACACUCAGCUGAUAAAGCAGCACAGUAUUUGAGAGGAUCAAGUCCAAUUUGGGGAGAAGUUCUACUGUGGGUCAAAUGCUAUCGAACACCAACCACUGCAUGCUACAGAGAAAGUGUUUGUGAAAGGAAGAGUCAAUAAUGUGGCAAACUUCACUGUUGUCUUAUUUUAAGAAGUUGCCACAGCCACCCCUGCCUUCAGCAGCCACCAACCUCAGGGCAAAACCCUCCCCCCAGAACAAAAAAUGACUUUCUGAAAGCUCAGAGGACAGUAGCAUUUUUUUAGCAAUAAAGUAUUUUAAAAUUAA
Felis catus (domestic cat) is the source of this 2925-nucleotide long non-coding RNA. RefSeq lists it as uncharacterized. Lineage: Eukaryota; Metazoa; Chordata; Mammalia; Carnivora; Felidae. The record is from RefSeq and is a predicted model, not a curated record. The transcript is spliced from 7 exons.